UACCGCACAGUGCGCGCCGAAGUUACA
RNAcentral lists this small RNA (27 nucleotides) under Bombyx mori (domestic silkworm). Its description in RNAcentral is "ovarian small RNA-20724". The record is from RNAcentral. Lineage: Eukaryota; Metazoa; Arthropoda; Insecta; Lepidoptera; Bombycidae.